UGGGCAACCUGCCCUCAGCUCUGGGAUAACUCCAAGAAAUUGGGGCUAAUACCGGAUAUGACCGCUGACCGCAUGGUCUGGUGGUGGAAAGAUUUAUCGGCUGGGGAUGGGCCCGCGGCCUAUCAGCUUGUUGGUGGGGUAGCGGCCCACCAAGGCGACGACGGGUAGCCGGCCUGAGAGGGCGACCGGCCACACUGGGACUGAGACACGGCCCAGACCCCUACGGGAG
This 229-nucleotide ribosomal RNA is filed under the name uncultured bacterium. Its description in RNAcentral is "partial 16S ribosomal RNA". It matches the Rfam family "Bacterial small subunit ribosomal RNA", at positions 118 to 347 of the family's 1533-position model. The record is from RNAcentral.